Molecule: long non-coding RNA, 599 nt
Organism: Mauremys reevesii (Reeves's turtle)
Lineage: Eukaryota; Metazoa; Chordata; Testudines; Geoemydidae
Exons: 2
Source: RefSeq, a predicted model, not a curated record
GCAUCUCCCACAGUGACUGGUUGGUGAAACGGUUGAAGUAGUAAGGGCGAUUCUCCCGUUUGCUCCAGCACUUCUCCCAGCCAGCCUGCACCAGCUCAUCUAGGAGAGAGGAAAAGUAUCAGCAUAAGAGCAGUCCCGAACAGCAACCCUGCUGCUCCAGCCCCCAUCGCUGUCACAGCACAUGCUAAACUGGGGGUGGGAAGGGGGAAAUAUCAUCCCCAAAUCCCCUCUACCACUCCGACAGGCUCCUUACCCUAAAUUUUCUCCUCUCCCUCUCUGCUGCCACAGGGCUCCAGAAUCCUAUCCCUGACCCCCUAAACAGCAGAACAAGUACCUGGCAGGUCCUGCACCAGUCGGAUGGGUUUCGGGGAGCUGGGCUGGUUCUGGUUAGAGGUACCAGACAGGAAAAUGGAAGCAGAGAGAGAGUGAUUCUUCUCAACUCACUGAAGACAGCGUGGCAGAGCAUACUACAAACCCAGGUCCCCUUAUACCCAGUCCUUCUCUCUCCAGUGGACCAUGCUGAUGGGAAUAUUUGGAGGAGCAGUUUGGCCUGUAUCUCACCAAUGCUGGGACUUAAAGUGGAUCCAAAAUAACCAUUA